AAGGAAGGAUUGUGAGAGAGGAAUGGCGGCGCCGGCAAAGUAUGCCAGCCCCAACCAUCGUCGCAUCUAAGGACCUCGAAGCAGCUGCUGAUGUUGGCGUCACGUGACAGGUCCAUAACAUAGAGAGAUUGAUCUUCUGUCCGGUCAACAAGAUUGUCUUGGAUCAUGGGGAGGCUCAUGCCAAAAGGAACCAUGCAUGAAUUGAUACGAGGGAUGCUUGCAACAGUUCCCAGCUCAAUGUUGUAGAGUAUUGUCUUACUAAAGGAGUCACUGAAAACAAUACUGUCUUUUCCAAGUAGAGAGAACGAAUCCCUGUUCAUACUACUAUGUGUUAAACUAGACAUGGGAUGAAAAUUGAUUUCCGGCUUAGGCAGAACCGACAAGCGCUCUAGCAUAGGUGGUUUGUUCUUCUCCGUUUUUGCUAGUGCUGCUUUUCGUGCUUCUGUUGACGGAUAGAAGAGGUACUUCAAGGGAUCCAGACGAUGCAGCGAAUACAUGCGACGGCUCAAGUCCUGCACUAUCAAAUUCACAAACCGAGUAUUCAUCCUCUCCAAAGUCCAACUGAUCGAAUCUCUCCGACUGGUCUGACUAAAAAAAUGAGUAUCAAUUAUUGAGACUGAGAUAUCCAAUACUGUAUAAUUUAAGAUUAAAGAAAAAACCAGCAGCAAUCUCCUGCGUGCCUCCAAUUCCUAAUUAUCCCUAUCCAGUUGUGAGCCGUCAAUGCUCUGAAUCGCACAAAUUUUACAAACCAACAAGGACUGAGGCUUUCGCUGAACAAUACCUUACGCUGCUUUACCAGCGGAGGAUCUAGUCGGAUGCGCCUGGUGAGGGUGAGGAAGCGGCGAGCACAAUCGGGAGAUUAGAUCUGCUAUUUUCGAGACGGCGAAUAAGCGAAGAGUGCCAGGAAAGGCGGCGGAGGCGCAGUG
Molecule: long non-coding RNA, 926 nt
Filed under: Triticum aestivum (bread wheat)
Lineage: Eukaryota; Viridiplantae; Streptophyta; Magnoliopsida; Poales; Poaceae
Description: long non-coding RNA (TAES_LNC018581)
Source: RNAcentral